GAUGAACGCUGGCGGCGUGCUUAACACAUGCAAGUCGAACGGAAAGGCUCCUGCUUGCCGGGGUACUCGAGUGGCGAACGGGUGAGUAACACGGGGGUGAUCUGCCCUGCACUUCGGGAUAAGCCGGGGAAACUGGGUCUAAUACCGGAUAGGACGAUGGUUUGGAUGCCGUUGUGGAAAGUUUUUCGGUGUGGGCUGAGCUCGCGGCCUAUCAGCUUGUUGGUGGGGUAAUGGCCUACCAAGGCGUAGACGGGUAGCCGGCCUGAGAGGGUGUACGGCCACAUUGGGACUGAGAUACGGCCCAGACUCCUACGGGAGGCAGCAGUGGGGAAUAUUGCACAAUGGGCGCAAGCCUGAUGCAGCGACGCCGCGUGGGGGAUGACGGCCUUCGGGUUGUAAACUCCUUUCGCUAGGGACGAAGCGCAAGUGACGGUACCUGGAGAAGAAGCACCGGCUAACUACGUG
This 465-nucleotide ribosomal RNA is filed under the name uncultured bacterium. Its description in RNAcentral is "partial 16S ribosomal RNA". It matches the Rfam family "Bacterial small subunit ribosomal RNA", at positions 28 to 507 of the family's 1533-position model. The record is from RNAcentral.